RNAcentral lists this long non-coding RNA (10179 nucleotides) under Salvia miltiorrhiza (redroot sage). RNAcentral describes it as "long non-coding RNA (SMIL_LNC011231)". Lineage: Eukaryota; Viridiplantae; Streptophyta; Magnoliopsida; Lamiales; Lamiaceae. The record is from RNAcentral.
GUCAAUCUCUCAGGCAUGUGUCUAUUGUUCUGUUUUUAUGAUUUUUUCUUCAAAAAGCUAUUAAUUUUAUUUCAUUGUAUCCAACACUCCAGACUCCAGACUCCAGCCUUAUUGCAGUUUGUUUAUUGUUAGUUACAUCCCAUCAAACUUGAACUAUCUGUUAUUGUUUUAACUCCAAACAUUACUGCCCUUGAUUGCAGUGAGUAUGAUUCUAAAGCCAUGGCAGAGAUAGGGGAGCUUCUGAGGAGCAUGGAGGCGAGGCGGCCUCAAUUAGUGGCGCUAACGAGCUUGCUCGUGGGGAAGAACGACGACAGUUUAGUUGUUGAGUCUGAAGAGAAGGAUGAUGACAAAAAUUAAGACAGCAAUAUUGAAGAUGGAAGUUCAUGUGGAAGCUGAACCCAAUCCCAGCAACAAGGGAAAUGGAAAAAGGCACACCAAUGAAAGAAUGUUGAGCAUAUUGUAUAACAUUAAAACAAAGUUUGAAUUUGCAUCACCAUUAGAAUCUUGCAAGUAAGUUCUAACUUGCAGGACAGAAUAUUUGGUUUUAAUUUAUCAAUUGCGUGCUUUUAUAAACAGACGAAAGUAGUAAUAAGACUUUCAGUUUGCAUGGACGAAGGUAGUAAUAAAACUACAAUUUGAAUUUGCUGACGACUGCAUUCACCUUCCAUGAAUUCACUGCUUAUUUGUUGAUUUACCAUAGUAUAGACACAGAGUUGUCAGCUGAAAAGAGAGAGAGGGUUUGAUAGUGCAGCAGCUUGAACGUAGCUUGAUAACUGCGUUUCCUGCUCUCGUUGCUGAUUUUGUAACCUGUUCUUGUCUCCUGUUUUCGUAGUGAAUUUUUCCUUACUUUGCGACCGUGGAUGUGGAUCUGUAAAGAUCGAACCACGUAAACCCUUGAGUCUCUUUUAUGGUACUUUCAUCAAACAUAUGUUGUGCAGUUCACAUUUUACAGAGUUUUCAAGGUAAAAUCACUAUAAACUUCAGAUCUUGCUUAGUCUCCUCACUCAAACACUUCGUGCUACCAUAGUCAACAAACUAAUACAAAUGACAAGUCCAUAAAUAAUUAAGAAGAUCUAAUUCCAUACACCACAAGCAUUGCAGUCCCAAACUUAUUAAACAAAUCUCGAACUUAAAAAUUUUCAGUUCCACCUUCAAAGCAAAAAAUGCACUGAAAUCUUACCAAAAUAAAUUGUUGCGUGCUACAUGAAUUGCGUGAAAACAAGUUAAGUGGAUUCGUGGCUUUAUACAUACACAACCACACAACCCACUGUAAUAACUAUUUAAUAGAUUUCAUGGCUCAAUGAAAAUUCAACAAAGCGACGAGAGAAGUGAUGCUGAGAAGAUUGAGUAUUGAUAAUUAAAUAAAAAUUAAUGGAUAAAUUAGGCCAACUUCAAAUUCUUCAGUUCCACCUUCAAUUUUCCAGUUUCUCCUUCAAUGGUGUAGGAAAGAUAGAAAUCUGUAAACAAAAAAUUGAGUUUCAAACCCGUGGACUUUAGAUUUUCAAAGUUUUAAAUGAGUAGGUGCUAAAACGACGUCGUUUCUAGUCCAUGUCGUUAAAUAUGCCACCUCAUCCAAGUCUGGUGCCACGUCAUUUAAAAGUUCACCGAAAAUCACGCGAUGGGAAAUUCCAGAUGACAUAAUUUAUUAUGUAUAUUUUGCAACAAGAAUGAAAGAUUGGGGGGAAAACCAAAAAUUGGAAAUUUAUUAUGGUUUUAGACCAAAUUUACCCUUUCUAAUAUAUGAAAUCCAUUAAUAUAAUUUCUGUAGGACUAAAUGUCAAUCUCGCAGGCAUGUGUCUUUUUGAUUUUUUCUUCAAAAAGCUAUUAAUUUGAUUUCAUUAUAUCCAACACUCCAGAAUCCAGCUUUAUUGGAGGUUGUUUAUUGUUAGUUACAUCCCAUCAAACUUGAACUAUCUGUUAUUGUUUUAACUCCAAACAUUAAUCCUUGAUUGCAGUGAGUAUGAUUCUAAAGCCAUGGCAGAGAUAGGGGAGCUUCUGAGGAGCAUGGAGGCGAGACGGCCUCAACUAGUGGCGCUAACGAGCUUGCUCGUGGGGAAGAACAACGACAGCGUAGUUGUUGAGUCUGAAGAGAAGGAUGAUGACAAAAAUUUAGACAGCAAUGUUGAAGAUGAAGAUAGUGAAACAGAGGAUUCAGCAGCUGUGGAAGUUGAACCCAAUCCCACCAACAAGGGAAAAGGAAAAAGGCACACCAAUGAAAGAAUGUUGAGCAUAUCAUAUACUAACAUUAAAACAAAGUUUCAAUUUGCAUCACCAUUAGAAUCUUACAAGUAAGUUCUAACUGGCAGGACGGGAUAUUUGGUUUUACUUUAUCAAUUGAAUAAAGGAAUUCUAUAUGUUUUAUUUGGCCAUGGGUACCGGUGAUAAAAAAAUAUUGCCAAAAAGUUACACUUAAUGUUAUAUAUGCGUAGAGUUUAUUGUAGAAUUUGAUAUAUAUUGUAAGACAUAAAUAUGUAUUGUGGAAGAUAAAUAUGUGAUGACGUGUGUGAUGUGAAUUAAAACUUUAUGUGAUUUAGAAUUUGAUUUGUACUAUAAGACAUAUACUUUUUUAUACCUAAAUAUAUUUAUUUAUGAUAGUAUGAAUUAAUAAUGCUAAAAAUACGAGAGUUAAGAUAAUUAAGAAUGGAGAACCGUGGACACGCCACGUAGUGUGAAAGUAAACUUCAUUAUCAUAUACUCCCUCUGUCCCACUGUAUGUGAGACUCUUUCUAUUUUGGACAUCCCAUUGUAAGUGAGACAUUUCCUUUUUGGGUAAAAGUUUUUCCCUUUAAACACCUUUUCAUUUUUUCACCUACACAUAAUAUAGUAUAAUAUUAAGAAUAUUACUCCCUCCGUCAGCCAAAAGUAUUCCAUAAUUACUAUAUUUGACGUCCGCAAAAAUAUUCCACUUUCCUUUUUAAGUCAUGGUCCCACCAUCUACCUUUAUAUUUUAUCCUUACAAACACUCUUUAUUUAUAAAAAACCUCACCUCAAAUUCAAUCUCAACCACACAUCUCAUAAAGUACGGAGGGAGUAUUAUUUUCAUUUAUUUAUUUAUUACUGUAGUAUGUUUUAAGGACAGGGCCGAUUAUUAUUAAAAAAAGAUUUUCAAUAUAAAAAAAAAAACCCUUAAACUAUAAGAAGCAACUCUCUCUCUCUGGUGGGUAUGAACGAUAGCGUUGAGAGGUUUGGUAAUUCGUUAUUUAUAAGUGAGUAUUGUUUGAUCCUGCCCGAAGUUGAGUUUUUCUGAUUGCAAAUCAAGCAAUUAACCAAGGUAAUUUCUUAGUUCUUGUCUCCAGAUCCGUUUCUAUGCAGAUUUUGAUUUUUUUUUUUGAGCAUCUGUACAGAGAUUGAUCGAAGCAGUUAUGAAUCGGAAGUAUUUCAAAGCCGAUUUAAAAUUUCUUCUCACCAAGGUAAUCUCCAGCUGUCAAAGUGUAUUUUUUUCCCCCUUCGAUUCUUGUUUUGGGUCGUUGAUGCUGUUUCUUAUAUAAUUUGAUUGCAAAUCACCAUGAACUUCAUCCAAAAUACUACUAUUCCCCCCCCUUUUUUUAGAGGGAAGCAUUAUAAUCUCUUAUUGAUUAGAAUUGAAUAGUAGUACUCCCUCCGUCCGCCAAGAUUAUGUCACUUUGCUUUUAUGGCAAUGAUCCCACCAUCCUCUUUAAUAUUUUAUCCUUACUAACACUCUUUAUUUACAAAAAAACCACUCAAAAUUCAAUCUCAACCACUCAUCUCAUAAAGUGGAUAAAGUGGUGGGGCCCUUUCUCCACUACAUCAAAAUCAUCACCAAUUUUAUUAAAUCCCAUGCCCAAGCAAAUUGCCAUAAUCUUGGCGGACGGAGGGAGUAUUAUUUAUCUGAUGAUGAUGACAAUGAUGAUAUGGAUCACAUAUUAAACUAUGAAACUAGUUUCAAACAGAUGCAUGUUUACCUUUGAAACUAUAUUUCUGAUAAAUAGAGAAAGGGUUAACAUAAUCGAGUUUUUGCUCUAAUUUGUUAUGGCAUUGUUCUAAAUAUUUUCUUGGAUCUUUUAUUUUUAUAGUGUGGUGGAGGAAGCUGUGGAGGAAUUGAUAGGAUAAGUGAGUUGCCCGAUGAAAUUAUCAUUUUCAUACUGUCCUUUCUGUCGUUGAAGGAGGUCGUAUCCACUAGUAUUCUUUCUUCCCGAUGGUCAGAUUUGUGGAAGUGCACCCCUAAUCUCAACUUCAGUACUAAGCUUCUCAACAUCAAACCUAGAUUCCUGCCUUGGGACUUAGGAUCAUGGGAUGUGGAAAAGUGCAAGUAUAUACGGAUGCUAAACUCAGUUCUCAAAUCCCAUAAAGCGCUUUGCCUGAAAGAGUUUAAAAUUUCUUUGUAUGUGAACAAAUCAGCCCAGUCCACAGUCACCAAAUGGCUUGAAUUUUUGUUUUCAAGACAAGUUGAGAGGUUGGAAUUGGACUUUCUAUGUGAGUAUGAUACUGAUAUGGUUUCCCUUGGAGAUUUAUUAAGAGGUAGCAACGUAUGUCGGCCUCAAACUGUUGUGUUUUUUAAAUCCCUCAAAAGACUGUGUCUGAAAUCUUUUAUAGUGAGUGGCGAAGAUAUCGACUUGUUACUACGUAAUUGCCCGCUGUUGAAGCGAUUGUCUAUCCAUAACUCACGCUUCACAUCUAAUGUUGUGGUUUGUGGCACCACACUUGUGUUAAAGCACUUGGAUAUUACAUUUUGCAGUGGUAUGAAUUACUACAUAAAAGUUUCUGCUCCAAAGCUUACUUGGCUUAGGGUUGACUCGAUAUCAGACGAGUUGUUACUUGAGAACCUCCCAAAACUUAUUAGGGCAGAAUUCACCUGUAGAAGUGAAAGUGUAGAUGAUGCAAAACGUUUUGCUUCUGCAGUAUUUUGCUGCAUUUCCCAACGAAAAUUUCUCCAUUUAAAUCUCCUUUAUCCCAAGGUUAGACUGCUUUUUUUCUUCUUGUUAUUUUGGUUUUGUUUCUAGAUAUAUACAUGAUUCAUUGAAAUUUCCAUAGGUGUUUUUGGUGAAUGACAUCCCUCCAAUGCCUAAAUUGAAGCGGUUGACAAUUGAAUAUUCUGCAGUUUAUAAGCACAGCCUCUUGCCAAUAACCGCUUUAAUAUGGGCAGCUCCCCGUCUUGAAGAAUUCAGAUUAGAGGUUAGUGAUACUGCAAUUAAUUUUACUAAACUAUGCCAUUGUUUGCAGGUGUGGCCAUUUUUAUGAGAAGGUUUUUUGUGUAUGCAGUUCAUGAACCUCCCCGGACGAGACCCAACUCCUUGGAUAGAAGGUUUGACGAAUGUUACAAGACUUUCGCACAGGCAUCUCAAAGUGUUCAAGUUCGAAGGUUUUUGUGUGGACGCUGCUCAUCAUAUCGAACUGGUGACUUACAUUUCAAAUAAUUGUGUUUCGCUCAAGAAAAUAAUGAUUAGUUGUUAUCCAUUUUAUUAUGGAUAUGAUCAGACACGCUCUGAGCAAAUAGAUAAGGCAAAAGCUGAUAGCGUCCGAGCCAAACAACUGCUUCAAGAAAUUGUACCUCACUACACUAAACUAAUUGUUCGUUGGUUUUCCAUUCUUUAAGUUUGAGCCACACGAAUUCUGAGCGUAUAGCUACGGCAGAAGCUGAUAACAACUGCUUCAAUAUUUAUUUUGAGUGUCAAGUGUGAAAUACUAGCUUUGGAGCUAAUAUCAAUGAAUUAAAUUGGUUUAUAUUUUGUGUCUGAAAUACUAGUUUCUGUAAUACAGUAUGAUAUUCUCACCAACUGCUUCAUACAAUAAUCAUUAAGAGUUCUUUAUGGAGUCUGGAUCCUUGUACAGUUGUUGCACCAAUUGAAAUUUGGAAGAUGCGACCACUUAGGCAUAUCUGCUGUUAUGAAAUUUAUCUUCCUCAACCCGACGGACAAGAUGAGUUGUUAAUCUUGGAAAAUCUUCAAUACGCUUCGGAGUGCAGAGAAUUUGAGGUUGAGUGAGGAUGUGUGCAACAUCAUUCCUAUUAUUUCCCAACAUCAAGAUAUUGCAUCUUUAAUAUCAUCAUUACUUACAAGGAUGGGAUGAUAGUUUGAAUGAGGGUUUGUGUAAUCUUGGUAGGUUGCAUAAACUUGAAUCACUCAAAUUGAGGAGGGGUGGGGGGGGGGGGUNNNNNNNNNNNNNNNNNNNNNNNNNNNNNNNNNNNNNNNNNNNNNNNNNNNNNNNNNNNNNNNNNNNNNNNNNNNNNNNNNNNNNNACUCCCUUUCUCGGGGUCGAGUUUUGGUGGGAUUCAGCCAAUGCCGUCAUUGAUGAGCUGAGUCUCGGAGUUUUAUCUCCUUUUUCCUUUUAUUUGUUUGACAAGCAGUGUCUUGUCGGUUUUCUUAGUUUCGUUCUGCUUUGCUUUUGUGUUUGCUUAGUGUCUUUUGUUAGUCGUUUUUGUGAUGGGAAGCCGAGCAGCUUAGGGGUGAUGGUUAGGCCGGAACCUUUGAAGUUGUCUCAACCCCGCUUCCCUUUUCACUUUUCUCGUUUGCACUUUAACGAGUACUCUUUUUCCCCUUUAAGGAUUUUCCCUCGCGGGUUUGCCUUAGAGGGGUUUUAAUGAGGCUCGGCCCUUAGUUUGCUCUCUGUGCUCUCAAGGGUUUUUUGUUUUUUCUUUUAAUAAAAUCUCAUUUAAUAAAAUAAAAAAAAUAAUUGUGAAGAAUUUUCUAAUGCAAGCUUGUAGGCUCUUCAAGUUUUGAGAAAGGAUUUUGAAUGAAUAAUUUUACAAUAUAUAUAAAUAUCUAUAUAUCUAUAUAUAUUUCUCUUGAAUUCUAUUUCUUAAGUAUGAUUCUCUCUCCAUUUACAAUACAAUAAAAGAGCGUUUACUUUGCAUGAUUAAUAAAAUGCAUGAUUGACUAUUACUAUCCUCAAGAAUAGGAUUUCUCCAAUCCGACCUUUUCAAUGAGAUAUAAAUCAAGCAAAACUAGUUCAAAUGAUAGAAAUUAUCAAGAGCUUUAGGAUAUCCCAGAAUUUCAAUCCUUUAAAGUAAACAAAGAAUUAGUCUUACUAUUUUUAUUUAUUAAAGUUAAUCCUUCAAACUUCAAAGUAAGCAUUCCCUAACUUUUUUUUAUUAAAUCCUGUGUUGCCACCUUCUAUGGUUAUUUUUUUAUGUAAUGAGAGGGUGUUAGUUUUUUUUUCAGAGAAGAGAGGGUAUUAGUUAAAAACCACAUGCAACUCCCUUUUCCCCCUCAUGAUACUACAAAGCAACAAUGGGAAUAAAGCUCAAUAAAAUCAUACAAAGAUGAGAAUGGAAUACACAAAAAAAAAAAAAAACUCAAACUCACUUUGCCAUUAACUCGUCCAAUAUAAGUACAUAUAGUAAAAACCAAGAUUACAAAACAAGCCUAUUUGUGAAACAGAGCUUCAGAAACAGAACAAUCCAAUAUGACAAAGAAAAGCUUCCCGUUGUACGAAAAGCUUCCCGUUGUACUCUACAGAGUCGAACGGGCUUCCACUAGCAAAUAUGGCGCGCCCCUGAAAAAAACUCAAUAUUUUCAGCAAGAAUCCAUGAAGGGAUGCGUUUAAUUUGAUUGGGAAAAAAAAAGAGAAAAAAUAUAUUUUCACAAUUUUUCCACCAUUUUUCAUGUUUACUAUGAUAGAAUUUUUUUUCCGGCAGCUCCUUUUUGCUCUUUUUCUCUCCAAUGUUGAAUUAUAUUAUCUUUAGGUAGUGGUGUGAAAAUACUUUCCAACAUUUCCUAAUAUUUUCAUUUUUUCUUAUCCAUCCUUUUCCAAUGAAAACUUUACAACCAAAGUAAAUGCAUCCUAGAUUGACAAUACAUAUAUGAUCAAACAUUUGAAGAUUAAAGAGACGAAAAAUCCAUUUACCUCACUCCAUGUGUACGCUUCUUCAGCCGUACAUUCUGAUUGUGAGGUCGGGUUUGACAGAGCGAGUAUGAGAGGUUUCUGUAAAUCAGCAAAGAUAAGGAUAUUUUGUAACACGAAAUUAAUUUAGGAUCGGAGAGAGAGAAGAGAACCUCGUUCAUGGAUGCCAUGGCCUCGACUACUUCCUUUGUGAAAGCUUUUCCAACACUCGAGAGCGAUAAGUUCAGCUAUACCAGUCCCGGCCUUCAAGAAACCGAAAAUCAGAAGCCAGGUUAAAGAAUUAUAUUUCCUCAAAAAAGAAAAUAUUUUGAAAUAAUGUCACUUGAUCAAUACACAAAACUAUGAGGCUUAACAAAUGCAGAUAUUAUAAAUUAGGAAAAGUAAUCUUGAAGUAGGAAGAAAUUAGGCUUACCUCUCCAGCACCCAAGAAUAAGAACCUAUGAUCUGCUAGAGUUCCACCAACUAGUAUCAAGGCUGCAACGAGCCCGGCAAGAACCACAGAGGCUGCACCCUGACACAAUGCAAGCUUGAUAAUGAAGUUCGUCCCAUGAUACUUGAAUAUUUAUGAUGGUAAAAAUGUUAGCGCAUCUACCUGGAUAUCGUCGUUGAACACAAGAUGACUAGAUCGGUAUUUGGAAAGUAGUUCAAAUGCAUUGUGGUUUGCAAAAUCUUCAAACUAGAGAAAUACGACAAAAUUUCAGACGACUGCAGAAAACUGUGACUUGAAAACUGAUGGAUAAAACAGCUUUGAUGCUCGUGAGCGUAGUACCUGUACCAAGACCUUAUCCCCGUAGUUCUGCUUAACAGCAGACAUGAACUCUUCUAGAAGUUCAUAAUAUUCCUAUACGAAAAACUAGAAGAUUAAAAGGCCAAUUCCAAACAUGUUUAAAAUAGAUAUAAAUGCAAUAAAAAAGUAAUAUUAGUACACUAGAAAAAGGAAAUCAAGAGAGACCUGCCCAGUUGCUCUGUUCUGCUUCAGACCAAUGUAGAAUUCAUCUUCUAACAACUUUUUGUUGUUUGUGCCGACGUCAAUGGUUAUUGUAGCCGAGAGUACUCGAACCUGUGACCUCUUGGACAACAUGCAACCACCCCAACCACUAGGCCAUCCCAAAGGGACGUGCAUUGGUAUUCUUGUGCAGCUCUUUGUUGACUGAAGAAGAGCUGGCUGAUUUCACCAUCCAUGAUCUGCUUGAGAAGCUCGAGGUAUUUAUUUUUCGAUGAAAUUUGGACCUAGUGUUACUGGUAUGAGAAUGGAGAUAAUAAGGUUAAGGUUAUAUUAGUGCUGAAAACAACUUGAAAAACGAUAUUACUAUUUAAAAUUAAUUUUAAAAUCCUAAAAAUUACAUAAAAAAUACAUAAAACUUAAUUAAAUAAAAAUAAUUCCUAAAAUAACUAUUCUGGUCCUAGAGGUUCGAAACGUGUCCAAACGUGCUCCAUCAAAUCAUGUUGGAGCAUAGCAUGACGAAGGAAAUAUUGGAAAUAUUGGAAGAUUGAAGGAAUAGAAUUGUUGUUGUGUGAACUCUGUUAACUCUGUUAGGAUUAUCUCAAAACUGAGUUGAGAUGGGCCUUCAUGAUUAAAGCCCAUUAUCUAGCUACUUUUUAGGUGAUGAGUGAUUCUAUUCAUAGUCUUCAUUUUACUCAAUGUAUAAUGCAUAUUCUUUUCAUGUUUUAAAAACACAUAGUUAAGUAAUUACACUCAAUACAGUAUACAUAAUAAUAUUAAUGUCAUUAUGCAAUCAGUGUUUAAAAUAAUUAAUUAAAANACCUCAUCCAAGUCUGGUGCCACGUCAUUUAAAAGUUCACCGAAAAGCACGCGAUGGGAAAUUCCAGAUGACAUAAUUUAUUAUGUAUAUUUUGAAACAAGAAUGAAAGAUUGUGGAAAAAACCAAAAAUUGGAAAUUUAUGAUAGAAUCAAAUAAAUUUCAAAAUGACAUGAGGAUAUGUGAGAUCCUUAAUAUAAUUUCUGUAGGACUAAAUGUCAAUCUCUCAGGCAUGUGUCUAUUGUUCUGUUUUUAUGAUUUUUUUCUUCAAAAGCUAUUAAUGUUAUUUCAUUAUAUCCAACACUCCAGAUUCCAUCAAACUUGAAUCAUCUGUUAUUGUUUUAACUCCAAACAUUAAUCCUUGAUUGCAAUGAGUAUGAUUCUAAAGCCAUGGCAGAGAUAGAGAAGCUUCUGAGGAGCAUGGAAGCGAGGCGGCCUCAACUAGUGGCGCUUACGAGCUUGCUCGUGGGGAAGAACGACGACAGCGUAGUUGUCGACUCUGAAGAGAAGGAUGAUGACAAAAAUUCAGACAGCAAUGUUGAAGAUGAAGAUAGUGAAACAGAGGAAUCAGCAGCUGUGGAAGUUGAACCCAAUCCCAGCAACAAGGGAAAAGGAAAAA